This 213-nucleotide ribosomal RNA is filed under the name Escherichia coli. RNAcentral's name for it is "partial 16S ribosomal RNA". It matches the Rfam family "Bacterial small subunit ribosomal RNA", at positions 1 to 213 of the family's 1533-position model. The record is from RNAcentral. Lineage: Bacteria; Pseudomonadati; Pseudomonadota; Gammaproteobacteria; Enterobacterales; Enterobacteriaceae.
UUAAAUUGAAGAGUUUGAUCAUGGCUCAGAUUGAACGCUGGCGGCAGGCCUAACACAUGCAAGUCGAACGGUAACAGGAAACAGCUUGCUGUUUCGCUGACGAGUGGCGGACGGGUGAGUAAUGUCUGGGAAACUGCCUGAUGGAGGGGGAUAACUACUGGAAACGGUAGCUAAUACCGCAUAACGUCGCAAGACCAAAGAGGGGACCUUAGG